RNAcentral lists this ribosomal RNA (119 nucleotides) under Gossypium raimondii (Peruvian cotton). The record is from RNAcentral. Lineage: Eukaryota; Viridiplantae; Streptophyta; Magnoliopsida; Malvales; Malvaceae.
GGGUGCGAUCAUACCAGCACUAAUGCACUGGAUCCCAUCAGAACUCCGCAGUUAAGCGUGCUUGGGGGAGAGUAGUACUAGGAUGGGUGACCUCCUGGGAAGUCCAGGUGUUGCACCCC